GACGAACGCUGGCGGCGCGCCUCAUGCAUGCAAGUCGAACGAUAACUAGCUCAUUCGUAAGAAUGAGUUAGGGACAGUGGCGAACGGGUGCGUAACACGUGAGAAACCUGCCCUGGAGACCGGGAUAGCCCGAGGAAACUCGGAUUAAUACCGGAUGCCCUCACCGGACCACAUGGUCUGAUGAGGAAAUGGUCAGCCGCUCCAGGAUGGUCUCGCGGCCUAUCAGCUUGUUGGUGAGGUAAUGGCUCACCAAGGCUCUGACGGGUAGCUGGUCUGAGAGGACGAUCAGCCACACUGGGACUGAGACACGGCCCAGACUCCUACGGGAGGCAGCAGCAGGGAAUAUUGCACAAUGGGCGAAAGCCUGAUGCAGCGACGCCGCGUGCGGGAUGAAGGCCUUCGGGUUGUAAACCGCUUUCAGGAGGGACGAAAAUGACGGUACCUCCAGAAGAAGGCCCGGCCAACUACG
Molecule: ribosomal RNA, 469 nt
Filed under: uncultured Acidimicrobiales bacterium
Lineage: Bacteria; Bacillati; Actinomycetota; Acidimicrobiia; Acidimicrobiales
Description: bacterial SSU rRNA
Rfam family: Bacterial small subunit ribosomal RNA
Source: RNAcentral